This 253-nucleotide ribosomal RNA is filed under the name uncultured bacterium. RNAcentral's name for it is "partial 16S ribosomal RNA". It matches the Rfam family "Bacterial small subunit ribosomal RNA", at positions 524 to 776 of the family's 1533-position model. The record is from RNAcentral.
GACGGAGGAUGCAAGCGAUAUCCGGAAUGAUUGGGCGUAAAGCGUUCGCAGGUGGCUAUUCAAGUCUGCUGUCAAAGACCGGGGCUUAACCCUAGAGAGGCAGUGGAAACUGAAUGGCUGGAGUGCAGUACGGGUAGAGGGAAUUCCCAGUGUAGCGGUGAAAUGCGUAGAGAUUGGGAAGAACACCGGUGGCGAAAGCGCUCUGCUGGACUGCAACUGACACUGAGGGACGAAAGCUAGGGGAGCGAAAGGG